GGAGAGGUGGCCGAGUGGCCGAAGGCACCGGCUUGCUAAGCCGGCAUACGGGCAACCGUAUCACGAGUUCGAAUCUCGUCCUCUCCGCCA
RNAcentral lists this transfer RNA (90 nucleotides) under Planctomycetia bacterium. RNAcentral describes it as "tRNA-Ser". It matches the Rfam family "tRNA". From Rfam's summary of the family: Transfer RNA (tRNA) molecules are approximately 80 nucleotides in length. Their secondary structure includes four short double-helical elements and three loops (D, anti-codon, and T loops). Lineage: Bacteria; Pseudomonadati; Planctomycetota; Planctomycetia. The record is from RNAcentral.